UGACAGUCUCUCUUCCGGUGGUUAAUUUAGAGCUAAAACUGCUCCUUGGAGUAGUGCCUCUUGCUCCUGCACUGCCCGGAGGCCAGGUCUCAGCUCUGCUGUGGAGGGAGCA
This is a non-coding RNA of Ceratotherium simum simum (southern white rhinoceros), 112 nucleotides long. The record is from RefSeq and is a predicted model, not a curated record. NCBI's taxonomy places the organism in Eukaryota, Metazoa, Chordata, Mammalia, Perissodactyla, Rhinocerotidae.